Molecule: RNA transcript, 2574 nt
Organism: Apus apus (common swift)
Lineage: Eukaryota; Metazoa; Chordata; Aves; Apodiformes; Apodidae
Gene name: E3 ubiquitin-protein ligase RNF113A-like
Exons: 11
Source: RefSeq, a predicted model, not a curated record
GGGCGGGGACGGGCGAUGCAAGAUGGCGGAGGAGGGCUCCGUUUGCAGCUUCGCCUUCAGGAAGCGGGGCCCGGCGGCGGGCAGGGGCCGGCGCAAGCGGCCCGGCAGCGACCAGGAGCAGGGGAGCAGCGGGGAGGAGGGCAGCACGGUGGUGAGGAAGGAGCGGCGGCGGGAGGCCCCCAACCCCAUGAUCCAGAAGACCAGGAGAAGCACGAAGGAGAAGCCCUCCUAUGCCCUGAGCAGCAGUGAUGAGGAGGAUCCCUCCAAGGAGAUCGGAGUCACCUACAAAUCAACCAGGUCUGCGAAACCUGUUGGCCCAGAAGACAUGGGAGCCACAGCUGUGUAUGAACUGGACACUGAGAAGGAGAAGGAUGCCCAGGCCAUCUUUGAACGCAGCCAGAAGAUCCAGGAGGAGCUGAGAGGAAAGGAGGAUGAUAAAAUUUACCGUGGGAUUAACAACUACCAGAAGUAUGUGAAGCCCAAGGACACAUCGAUGGGAAACGCCUCUUCAGGAAUGGUCAGAAAAGGACCCAUCCGUGCCCCGGAGCACCUGCGGGCCACUGUGAGGUGGGACUACCAGCCUGACAUCUGCAAGGACUACAAGGAAACAGGGUUCUGUGGCUUUGGAGACAGCUGCAAGUUCCUCCACGACCGCUCCGACUACAAGCACGGCUGGCAGAUCGAGCGGGAGCUGGACGAGGGCCGGUACGGAGUCAACGAUGAGGAAAACUACGAGGUGAGCAGUGAUGAGGAGGAUAUGCCUUUCAAAUGCUUCAUCUGCAGAAGUUCCUUCAAGAACCCUGUUGUCACCAAGUGCAGGCACUACUUCUGUGAGAGCUGUGCCCUCCAGCACUACCGCAAGUCCCAGCGCUGCUACGUCUGUGACAAGCAAACCAACGGAGUCUUCAACCCAGCUAAAGAGCUCAUGGCAAAACUGGAAAAACACAAAGGGGAGGAAGAGGAGGAGGAAGAGCAGCAGCAUUCAGACCACGGAGAGGAUCCACAGUAGCAGAGCAACCUGUUUUGUAUCUAGUUGAAUAAAACUUUCAUGGGAGACAUAAAACCUCAGCAGUUGCCUCGGGCCAGCAGCUGUGACCUGUGCCUGUGUCCCACCUGCAGCUGCUGAAGUGUCUCUGCUGGGCUCCUUGUCUGCUGCUCCCUGGAGGCACAAGGAAUUUCACACAGUCCUGUCAACAGCAAGACUGCCAGGAGAGACACAGGCAGGUGGAAACCUCUGAAGCAGAAAGGCAGCACCAAGGGAAUGAAAGCAGGAGGCUCUGGUGAGCAGCAUUAUGGAGCAAUGGCAGCUGGUGAGACACUGAGCCAUGGGUAAGUGCUUUGCUUUCAUCAACUCCACUCCAGAUACAGCAUAAGCCAACAAAACAGAUGCAAAAAUAAAAAUUAACCUUAUUAAUGGUGUAGGCUGUUUCAACAGGAAUGGAAAAAGACUGUAAAUUCCCUUUUUAAAAGUCUUCCAGUCUUCACUUCUCCAUGUUAGCAGUGACUGAGAGUUAAUGCAAAAGGAGCUCAACCAGGAAUUUAUCUCCACGAUACAAGAGUUUAAAAAUUAAGAAGUUUAACUGAAAUGUCAUUUAUGGAACAGUGCAAAAAAGCUCCUCAGUGGUUUCACACAGGAUAACUUUUGGUGUGUGGUCAAAAGUAGCUGCAAAAUGAAGUCACCCAGGACAAGCUUUAUGCCAUGGCAUUCAUUAAGGCUUUCCAGCCUGUUGAUCUGAUUGAAAUUUGAGAUAGAUUGAAGGAAAUUAAUCUUUGAAAGGCAACGACUGUUAUAAAUGCCAGAAGAAAAUCAAUUUACUUGGCUUUAUUCAAAACUAGAAGAGGGGAGAUUGAGGUGAGACCUGAGGAGGAAAUUCUUCAGUUGUGAGGGUGGUGAGAGCCUGGCCCAGGUUGCCCAGGGAAGCUGUGGCUGCCCCAUCCCUGGCAGUGUUGAAGGGCAGGUUGGAUGGGGCUUAGAGCAACCUGGGCUGGUGGGAGGUGUCUCUGCCCAUGCAGGGGGGUUGGAUCUAGAUGAUCCUUAAGGUCCCUUCCAACCCAAACCAUUCUAUGAUGUAAACAUUCCAUAUACAUCUCAUAUUUUCAGCUUUGUGCAGGUGAGAAAUAAUUUAGACAAAACAAAUUGUGACCUGUGUUGUGCUGAGCACUGGUCAUUAUGAACCAGAGGGGGCAGCAGCAGGGCCUGCAAGAACAAAAACCAUUCAGGUCAAGUUUUCAGCUGCCACUUUUUGGCUGGGUGGGUAUUUCAACAGACUUUGCAAGUGAUUUUAGUCUUUAAGAGCCAAAGCUCUCCAAGCAUGCACAGAACUGGCUCUGAAGGUGACCAGGAAAACAGGAGGCAAAGUCACCUCAAACUGAAAACAACACAAGGUUUGGGUUUGAUGUUGGGAGCCCUUGUUGUGGCUGCUCUGCAGGGAGGAGAAAGAAAAUCAGAACCAAUUUAUUUCUGAGAAAGGAACACUGGGUUUGAAUGGUCAGCAUCACACUUUGUGGGCCUAGUUUUUGGAAGUCCAAUCAACUAACCUUUUCAUUCUGAAAGAGAAUUCUAAGAGUUUAGCA